This 253-nucleotide ribosomal RNA is filed under the name uncultured bacterium. RNAcentral describes it as "partial 16S ribosomal RNA". It matches the Rfam family "Archaeal small subunit ribosomal RNA", at positions 474 to 727 of the family's 1478-position model. The record is from RNAcentral.
UACCAGCACCUCGAGUGGUCAGGACGUUUAUUGGGCCUAAAGCAUCCGUAGCCGGCUUUGCAAGUCUUCGGUUAAAUCCACCUGCUCAACAGAUGGGCUGCUGGAGAUACUACAAAGCUAGGGAGUGGGAGAGGCAGACGGUAUUCAGUGGGUAGGGGUAAAAUCCUCUGAUCCAUUGAGGACCACCAGUGGCGAAGGCGGUCUGCCAGAACACGUUCGACGGUGAGGGAUGAAAGCUGGGGGAGCAAACCGG